GCCUGGAUAGCUCAGUUAGUUAGAGCACGGUGCUGAUAACACCAAGGUUGUGAGUUCGGUCCCCAUAUGGGACA
Non-coding RNA from Podarcis lilfordi (Lilford's wall lizard), 74 nucleotides. Lineage: Eukaryota; Metazoa; Chordata; Lepidosauria; Squamata; Lacertidae. The record is from the annotation of a GenBank genome assembly.